UAGGGAAUCUUCCACAAUGGACGAAAGUCUGAUGGAGCAACGCCGCGUGAGUGAAGAAGGGCUUCGGCUCGUAAAACUCUGUUGUUAAAGAAGAACAUAUCUGAGAGUAACUGUUCAGGUAUUGACGGUAUUUAACCAGAAAGCCACGGCUAACUACGUGCAAG
RNAcentral lists this ribosomal RNA (164 nucleotides) under uncultured bacterium. RNAcentral describes it as "partial 16S ribosomal RNA". It matches the Rfam family "Bacterial small subunit ribosomal RNA", at positions 355 to 511 of the family's 1533-position model. The record is from RNAcentral.